Non-coding RNA from Chrysemys picta bellii (western painted turtle), 221 nucleotides. The record is from RefSeq and is a predicted model, not a curated record. Lineage: Eukaryota; Metazoa; Chordata; Testudines; Emydidae.
CUGAGCUGGCUGCAGUGAGGCUCUGAGAAUCUACUGCAACAUCUGGUGGACAAAAGGUUCUCGAUCUCAUCUGAGAUCCAAAUGUGCUCCGCUGCAGUUUUGCUGAGAAUAUGUUUUCAUGAGGAAAAGUUCAGAGGGGAGGAAGAUGCGGCAAAAGAAGAAUGAAAAUCUAUGUAAGGAGACCUGGAUCUGGAAGUGACAUGAGGAUUCUGUCUCAGCAG